Meleagris gallopavo (turkey) is the source of this 263-nucleotide non-coding RNA. The record is from RefSeq and is a predicted model, not a curated record. NCBI's taxonomy places the organism in Eukaryota, Metazoa, Chordata, Aves, Galliformes, Phasianidae.
UCCUCUAUUGUGGGGCUGCCAUUUCUCUUUUUUUGGCAGGGAAUCCUGAUUGUACUUAAGGGCUGGUAGUCAUUUGUACCUGGAAGCUGCUUCCUUCACUUCAGAGUGUGGCCCAAUGGGUUUAAGGAUUGCCUGGGCUCCUCUAAUCAGUGGCGUGAGAUCUGUGCAACAAGUAAUGAACAUCAUGAGCCCAUAUUGGUGCACUGCUUGUAUGCAGGUAUUGAAAGGCUGUUACCAGGUUACCUUGGAGCCUUCACUUCUCC